ACAAGCUUGCUUGUUGGGGUUGUAGGACACUCUAUACGGAGUUACAAAGGACGACAUUAGACGAAUCAUCUGGAAAGAUGAAUCAAAGAAGGUAAUAAUCCUGUAGUCGAAAAUGUUGUCUCUCUUGAGUGGAUCCUGAGUACGACGGAGCACGUGAAAUUCCGUCGGAAUCUGGGAGGACCAUCUCCUAAGGCUAAAUACUCUCUAGUGACCGAUAGUGAACCAGUACCGUGAGGGAAAGGUGAAAAGCACCCCGGAAGGGGAGUGAAAUAGAACCUGAAACCGUGUGCUUACAAGUAGUCAGAGCCCGUUAAUGGGUGAUGGCGUGCCUUUUGUAGAAUGAACCGGCGAGUUACGAUUUGAUG
RNAcentral lists this ribosomal RNA (365 nucleotides) under Staphylococcus aureus. Its description in RNAcentral is "partial 23S ribosomal RNA". It matches the Rfam family "Bacterial large subunit ribosomal RNA", at positions 277 to 640 of the family's 2925-position model. The record is from RNAcentral. Lineage: Bacteria; Bacillati; Bacillota; Bacilli; Caryophanales; Staphylococcaceae.